AGCGAACGCUGGCGGCAGGCCUAACACAUGCAAGUCGAACGAAGUCUUCGGACUUAGUGACGGACGGGUGAGUAACACGUGGGAACGUGCCUUUAGGUUCGGAAUAACUCAGGGAAACUUGUGCUAAUACCGAAUGUGCCCUUCGGGGGAAAGAUUUAUCGCCUUUAGAGCGGCCCGCGUCUGAUUAGCUAGUUGGUGAGGUAAUGGCUCACCAAGGCGACGAUCGGUAGCUGGUCUGAGAGGAUGAUCAGCCACACUGGGACUGAGACACGGCCCAGACUCCUACGGGAGGCAGCAGUGGGGAAUCUUAGACAAUGGGGGAAACCCUGAUCUGGCCAUGCCGCGUGAUCGAUGAAGGCCUUAGGGUUGUAAAGAUCUUUCAGUGGGGAAGAUAAUGACUGUACCCACAGAAGAAGCCCCGGCUAACUCCGUGCCAGCCGCCGCGGUAA
This 449-nucleotide ribosomal RNA is filed under the name uncultured bacterium. Its description in RNAcentral is "partial 16S ribosomal RNA". It matches the Rfam family "Bacterial small subunit ribosomal RNA", at positions 29 to 523 of the family's 1533-position model. The record is from RNAcentral.